RNAcentral lists this ribosomal RNA (465 nucleotides) under uncultured bacterium. RNAcentral describes it as "partial 16S ribosomal RNA". It matches the Rfam family "Bacterial small subunit ribosomal RNA", at positions 28 to 507 of the family's 1533-position model. The record is from RNAcentral.
GACGAACGCUGGCGGCGUGCUUAACACAUGCAAGUCGUACGGUAAGGCCCUUUCGUUGGUCCUCGAGUGUCGGACGGGGGCGUAACACGUACGUAACCUUCCCCCACCUUUAGGAUAACGCUAGGAAACUGAUGCUAAUGCUGAUAAUGUGCUCCUUCUUCAUGGUCGUGGUUGGAAAGUUCCGGCGGUUGUGGAUGUACUCGCGGCCUAUCAGCUUGUUGGGGGGGUAGUGGCCUACCGAGGCGGCGUCGGGUGGCCGGCCUGAGUGGGUGACCGGCCACAGUGGGACUGAGAUACGGCCCAGACGCCUACGGGAGGGAGCAGGGGGGAAUAUUGCACGAUGGGCGCAAGGCGGAUGCAGCAAGGCCGCGUGCGGGAGGACGGUCUUAGGGUUGUAAACCGCGUUCAGCAGGGACGAAGCAUUUUGUGACGGUACCUGCAGAAGAAGCACCGGCUAACUACGUG